This 274-nucleotide ribosomal RNA is filed under the name uncultured bacterium. RNAcentral's name for it is "partial 16S ribosomal RNA". It matches the Rfam family "Bacterial small subunit ribosomal RNA", at positions 523 to 796 of the family's 1533-position model. The record is from RNAcentral.
AUACGGAGGGUGCAAGCGUUACUCGGAAUCACUGGGCGUAAAGCGCGCGCAGGCGGCUAUUUAAGUUGGAUGUGAAAGCCUACGGCUCAACCGUAGAACUGCAUCCAAAACUAUUUAGCUAGAGUGUGGGAGAGGAAGAUGGAAUUAGUUGUGUAGUGGUAAAAUCCGUAGAGAUAACUAGGAAUACCAAAAGCGAAGGCAAUCUUCUGGAACACUACUGACGCUGAGGCGCGAAAGCGUGGGGAGCAAACAGGAUUAGAAACCCUAGUAGUCC